This is a long non-coding RNA of Poeciliopsis prolifica (blackstripe livebearer), 1157 nucleotides long. RefSeq lists it as uncharacterized. Lineage: Eukaryota; Metazoa; Chordata; Actinopteri; Cyprinodontiformes; Poeciliidae. The record is from RefSeq and is a predicted model, not a curated record. The transcript has 3 exons.
CUGACGACGUGUUUGAAAGAAGCGCCGAACUGUCAACAAUACGGCGAUUCCUGCAGCCAAGUUUUGUCAUGAUUCUGACAGGGUUCUGUCGCUUGUGGAGCAAAAACCUGGAUUCAGAACUUUUCACAGAACUUGACAAAUACACCCCUCACUUCUUUGAGAUUUUCAAGGGCAAAGGGGGAAGUGUUGGCCAGAAACUUCAGAUGUAUCUGCAACAAAGUCAAUAUUUUAUUAUCAUGUUGGGAACACAAUACACAACCCCACUGUGUAUGAGAAGCUGUUAAUUGAUUCUUCUUUACCACAGGAGUGAUGUGUGUUUGAUAUGAUUUUUCAGAGUAUGGAUAUUACUGCGAAGCAAAUGGCAGUGCUCGUUGGCCUCCCUGUGAUCCUUGGAGAUGAAAACACAGUCUUCAUCAAGACAUGCUUUACCCAGACGUGUCUCACACCUCCAUUGGGAUCCUGACGAUCAUUCCUGAGGACAGGCAGGCCUCCCUUGACUCACUGCACCUUGAGUCUUCAUCCAUCAUUUUGGAAGAAAGUCUUGUCAUGAAUGACCUUGGAAAUCUUCCACAUGCCAUCUGCUCUCUCUUUGGACUUAUUUAUGCUCUGAAUUUGGAGUACACUCAACAAGUACACCUUUGAUUUCAUCCAAAGGGUGCUUCUCUCACUUGGACAUAAAUCCCUAAAACCGAAAAUACAAUCACUCAAAAAUCUUCUGAUGCAAUGAGUGAAUGUGAUGUGACAUUAUGGAUCAACGUUGAUACCUUUACCCUUUUUGGAAAAGUGAUUUUUAUUUCUUGUUUGAUUCUUUUUUGUGGGAGGGAGCGUCAUUGCACUUGCAGACUACUAAAUGGUUUUAUGUUAAUGAGGAGAAACAUUACUUCACUAUUCACUUUUUUGAUGUUAUGAUAAAUGUUAGGCUCUAUUAUUGAAAAUUGAGUGUUUGUUUCACAGCAGUCAACAAAGACAUUUAAAUAGGGAUUCUCAAAGUUUUAAAAACGGGGGGCCAUUUGAAGGAUUCAAUAUUAGAUUGAAGGCUGCCCUAGAAAAAAAGUCAUGUCAUUUUUUUUUUCCUAAAAAAAAUCUAUGGAAAACUUUGUUUCCAGGUUAGUGUGUAUGUAACCACACUUGAGAACCCUAUAUUUAAGGUAAACUUG